Molecule: long non-coding RNA, 2416 nt
Organism: Symphalangus syndactylus (siamang)
Lineage: Eukaryota; Metazoa; Chordata; Mammalia; Primates; Hylobatidae
Source: RefSeq, a predicted model, not a curated record
AACAUCUAUUGGGGAAACGGAAAAAAUAUUUGACCUCAUAUUUCUCAUACCUGACAUGGUAAGUUAAUUUCAUGCCUUCUGGGUGGCCAAGGGAGAGAUUUUUCUUGUACCACAUUCUGCCUCUGACUGCCAGAGUUGUCUCUUAGCUAUGCCUGUCCCUCCAAGACCUGCCCCUACAGCUCCUAUUCCUUCUGGCUGAUGCCAUCCCACUGUGCGGCUGCAUCCUAAACAAUAAUAUUCAGUGCCAUCACUUAGUUAUUUCUGUACCUUUGUCAUUUUCCUUAACAGUAAGGCACAAGUUCCCAAAACAAUGCUAUAAAUAUAUAGGUAACUGAUGUGGUUUGGCUGUGUCACCACCCAAACCUCAUCUUGAAUUUUAAGUCCCACAGUUUCCACAUGUUGUGGGAGGGAACUGGUGGGAGGUAAUUGAAUCAUGGGGGCAGGUCUUUCCCAUGCUAUUCUCAUGAUAGUGAGUAAGUCUCAUGAGAGCUGAUGGUUUUAUAAAGGGGUUUCUCUGCAGAAGCUCUCUUCUCUUGUCUGCAGCCAUGUGAGAUGUGCCUUUCACCUACCGCCAUGACUGUGAGGCCUCCCCAGCCAUGUGGAAUUAGCAGCCCACUUUCAUUGAAGUUACUCUACUGAGGGUGAAGUAAUGUCUUCCUGGGGAAAUCAUAAUGGAGCCUUGGGAGAAACCUCUUUAAAAACCCAGUCGUUUUGGCCUGGUGUCCUUAUAAGCAGAGGGAAAUCUGGACACAGACACGCAUGGAGGGAAGGUGAUGUGGAGACACAGGGAGAAAGCAGCCAUGUCAAGACACAGAGAGAGAGACUGGAGUUUUGCAGCCACAAGCCAAGGAACACCUGGGGCUACCAGAAGCUGGAAGAAGCAAGGAAGAAUCCUAGAGGCUUUGGAGAGAUCAAGGCCCUGAUACCACCUUGUUUUCAGACAUCUAGCCUGCAGAACCACGAGAAAAUAACCCAGUUUAUGGUACUUUGUUAGAGCAGCCCUAGGAAACUAAUAUACUUGAAACCAAGAAAACAACCUAUUUAGAAUAGGAAGUAAACCUGCUGUGUCUCAUGGAGCACAUCACUUUGCAUCCAGGGUUUCAAAGGAAAAAAACAGGAAGGUGAAAGGGAAUAUUUUCCACUUUUCUCUGGGCCCACUAAGGUGAAGCUAUAUAACAUGACUGAUUUCCGAAGAAAAUAACCAGAGGCCACACCUCCAAGUGAAUGCUGAGCCUUUCAGACUUGUUACCCUGAGAAUAGAAACACUUGAGCCAAUCAGUAACAUUUUUUUCUUUUGGUUAAAGUCAAGUGUCACAAUGAAGCAAAGAAAACUCUUAUCUCUGCCGGGCGUGGUGGAUCAUGCCUGUAAUCCAGCAGUUUGGGAGGCCGAGGCGGGUGGAUCACUAGGUCAGGAGUUUAAGACCAGCCUGGCCAACAUGGUGAAACCCCAUCGCUACUAAAAAUACAAAAAUUAGCUGGGCCUGGUGGCGUGUGCCUGUAAUCCCAGCUGUUUUGGAGGCUGAGGCAGGAGAAUCGCUUCUACUCAGGAGGUGGAGGCUGCAGUGAGCCCAGAUUGUGCCGCUGCACUCCAGGCUGGGCGAUAGGGCGAGACUCAGUCUCAAAAAAAAAAAAAAAAAAGAAAAAGGAAAAAGAAAACUCUUAUCUCGCAUGGCUUAUAAAAUAGGCUCUGAGGGCAACAGUGAAUGAGAAUAUUCAAAAUUAAUAAUUUUAACAGAUUCUGAAUUACAUAUAUCACAGAUAUUAAGUAAUAAAAGGAACUUUCAUCUGACGCUUUAAAAAAAAGCAAACAGGCCGGGCAUGGUGGCUCACGCCUGCAAUCCCAACACUUUGCAGGGCCGAGGUGGGUGGAUCAUGAGGUCAGGAGAUCGAGACCAUCCUGGCUAACACGGUGAAACCCUGUCUCUACUAAAAAUACAAAAAAAUUAUCCGGGUGCGGUGGUGGGCUCCUGUAGUCCCAGCUACUUGGGAGGCUGAGGCAGGAGAACAGCGUGAGCCCGGGAGGCGGAACUUGCAGUGAGCAGAGAUCGUGCCACUGCACUCCAGCCUGGGCACCACAGCAAAACUCUGUCUCAAAACAAAACAAAACAAAAAAACCAAAAACCAAACAAACAAACAAAAGAAAUGAUGUCCACAGAGGUUUGAAAACUGACUCACCCAACAUCUUGGAAGCCCGAAGUGGCAGAUUCAAGGCUAGAACCCAGUUAGGAGAGUCCUAAGCUGCCUGUCCUUAGAGAAGUUGCUCUUGGCCUGACUUUAGCUUACAUCAUGGCAUAGCUUCAGUUUUAUGGAGCUACUAAAGAAGGCGCUGCAUCUCCACAUUUCCUCACAGCACCUCACAGACAUACUUCCCUUAAAAAAGGUGAAAAAAAAUCAAGACUGUAAUCUUACCCCAACA